AUACCUCAUUCCCUUCAAGUUUUUUGCUUGGUCUGGGAGUGGACUUGAGCUUGCGUUGGCUUGCUCGAAAUGCAUGGUGGUGAAAGACCUGCCGAGUUUAACGUCAUAUCAUUUUCGCUAGACUUUGGCAGCGCUCGGAGCCCUCAUAACUGAACCUUUUUAAA
This 164-nucleotide unclassified non-coding RNA is filed under the name uncultured Ascomycota. Its description in RNAcentral is "sequence contains ITS2". Lineage: Eukaryota; Fungi; Ascomycota. The record is from RNAcentral.